Molecule: ribosomal RNA, 261 nt
Filed under: uncultured bacterium
Lineage: Bacteria
Description: partial 16S ribosomal RNA
Rfam family: Bacterial small subunit ribosomal RNA
Source: RNAcentral
GUCCACGCCGUAAACGAUGUCGACUAGCCGUUGGGCCCUUAUGGGGUUUAGUGGCGCAGCUAACGCAUUAAGUCGACCGCCUGGGGAGUACGGCCGCAAGGUUAAACUCAAAUGAAUUGACGGGGCCCGCACAAGCGGUGGAGCAUGUGGUUUAAUUCGAUGCAACGCGAAGAACCUUACCUACCCUUGACAUCCUCAGAAUUUGGCAGAGAUGCCUUAGUGCCUUCGGGAACUGAGAGACAGGUGCUGCAUGGCUGUCGU